Octopus sinensis (East Asian common octopus) is the source of this 103-nucleotide long non-coding RNA. RefSeq lists it as uncharacterized. The record is from RefSeq and is a predicted model, not a curated record. The transcript has 3 exons. NCBI's taxonomy places the organism in Eukaryota, Metazoa, Mollusca, Cephalopoda, Octopoda, Octopodidae.
GGGAAAUGAAUGAAAUGUCUGGUGUGUGUCUUAUUGUGGCUACCACCUCCUAAAAAAAUUGGGGAAUAGGCAUGAGUAUAUGUAUCUGUAAGAGAGAGAGAGA